Molecule: ribosomal RNA, 292 nt
Filed under: uncultured bacterium
Lineage: Bacteria
Description: partial 16S ribosomal RNA
Rfam family: Bacterial small subunit ribosomal RNA
Source: RNAcentral
GUGUCAGCAGCCGCGGUAAGACGUAGGGGGCGAGCGUUGUCCGGAUUUAUUGGGCGUAAAGCGCGCGUAGGCGGCCGCGCAAGUCGGAUGUGAAAACCCGGGGCUCAACCCCGGGCGUGCAUUCGAUACUGCGCGGCUCGAGACAGGUAGGGGAGAUCGGAAUUCCUGGUGUAGCGGUGAAAUGCGCAGAUAUCAGGAGGAACACCGGUGGCGAAGGCGGAUCUCUGGGCCUGUUCUGACGCUGAGGCGCGAAAGCUAGGGGAGCGAACAGGAUUAGAUACCCUGGUAGUCC